AACAAACGCUGGCGGCGUGCCUAAUACAUGCAAGUCGAACGGGGAAAGUAGCAAUAUGAGUACUAGUGGCGCACGGGUGAGUAACGCGUGGAUAAUCUGCCUUGAAGAGGGGGAUAACUAGUCGAAAGAUUAGCUAAUACCGCAUAAGACCACAAGAACUGAGGUUCAAGGGGUCAAAGGUUUUUCGCUUCAAGAUGAGUCCGCGUAAGAUUAGCUAGUUGGUGAGGUAAUGGCUCACCAAGGCAACGAUCUUUAACUGGUCUGAGAGGAUGAUCAGUCACACUGGAACUGAGACACGGUCCAGACUCCUACGGGAGGCAGCAGUAGGGAAUAUUGCACAAUGGAGGAAACUCUGAUGCAGCGACGCCGCGUGAGUGAGGAAGGCCUUCGGGUCGUAAAGCUCUGUCGCAGGGGAAUAACACAAUGAAUGGACCCUGUAAGAAAGGAUCGGCUAACUUCG
RNAcentral lists this ribosomal RNA (460 nucleotides) under uncultured bacterium. Its description in RNAcentral is "partial 16S ribosomal RNA". It matches the Rfam family "Bacterial small subunit ribosomal RNA", at positions 29 to 505 of the family's 1533-position model. The record is from RNAcentral.